This 357-nucleotide ribosomal RNA is filed under the name uncultured Staphylococcus sp. RNAcentral describes it as "bacterial SSU rRNA". It matches the Rfam family "Bacterial small subunit ribosomal RNA", at positions 1108 to 1464 of the family's 1533-position model. The record is from RNAcentral. Lineage: Bacteria; Bacillati; Bacillota; Bacilli; Caryophanales; Staphylococcaceae.
AGCUUAGUUGCCAGCAUUAAGUUGGGCACUCUAAGUUGACUGCCGGUGACAAACCGGAGGAAGGUGGGGAUGACGUCAAAUCAUCAUGCCCCUUAUGAUUUGGGCUACACACGUGCUACAAUGGACAAUACAAAGGGCAGCUAAACCGCGAGGUCAUGCAAAUCCCAUAAAGUUGUUCUCAGUUCGGAUUGUAGUCUGCAACUCGACUACAUGAAGCUGGAAUCGCUAGUAAUCGUAGAUCAGCAUGCUACGGUGAAUACGUUCCCGGGUCUUGUACACACCGCCCGUCACACCACGAGAGUUUGUAACACCCGAAGCCGGUGGAGUAACCAUUUAUGGAGCUAGCCGUCGAAGGUG